This 22-nucleotide microRNA is filed under the name Gallus gallus (chicken). RNAcentral's name for it is "gga-miR-6567-5p". Lineage: Eukaryota; Metazoa; Chordata; Aves; Galliformes; Phasianidae. The record is from miRBase by way of RNAcentral.
AGCUCCGAACUCGCGGUGCCCG